Molecule: ribosomal RNA, 515 nt
Filed under: uncultured bacterium
Lineage: Bacteria
Description: partial 16S ribosomal RNA
Rfam family: Bacterial small subunit ribosomal RNA
Source: RNAcentral
GAUGAACGCUGGCGGCGUGCCUAAUACAUGCAAGUCGAGCGAAUGGAUUAAGAGCUUGCUCUUAUGAAGUUAGCGGCGGACGGGUGAGUAGCACGUGGGUAACCUGCCCAUAAGACUGGGAUAACUCCGGGAAACCGGGGCUAAUACCGGAUAACAUUUUGAACCGCAUGGUUCGAAAUUGAAAGGCGGCUUCGGCUGUCACUUAUGGAUGGACCCGCGUCGCAUUAGCUAGUUGGUGAGGUAACGGCUCACCAAGGCAACGAUGCGUAGCCGACCUGGGAGGGUGAGCGGCCAAACUGGGACUGAGACACGGCCCAGACUCCUACGGGAGGCAGCAGUAGGGAAUCUUCCGCAAUGGACGAAAGUCUGACGGAGCAACGCCGCGUGAGUGAUGAAGGCUUUCGGGUCGUAAAACUCUGUUGUUAGGGAAGAACAAGUGCUAGUUGAAUAAGCUGGCACCUUGACGGUACCUAACCAGAAAGCCACGGCUAACUACGUGCCAGCCGCCGCGGUAA